This 534-nucleotide ribosomal RNA is filed under the name Streptomyces sp. XKDNR22. Its description in RNAcentral is "bacterial SSU rRNA". It matches the Rfam family "Bacterial small subunit ribosomal RNA", at positions 374 to 918 of the family's 1533-position model. Lineage: Bacteria; Bacillati; Actinomycetota; Actinomycetes; Kitasatosporales; Streptomycetaceae. The record is from RNAcentral.
GGCGAAAGCCUGAUGCAGCGACGCCGCGUGAGGGAUGACGGCCUUCGGGUUGUAAACCUCUUUCAGCAGGGAAGAAGCGCAAGUGACGGUACCUGCAGAAGAAGCGCCGGCUAACUACGUGCCAGCAGCCGCGGUAAUACGUAGGGCGCAAGCGUUGUCCGGAAUUAUUGGGCGUAAAGAGCUCGUAGGCGGCUUGUCACGUCGGGUGUGAAAGCCCGGGGCUUAACCCCGGGUCUGCAUUCGAUACGGGCUAGCUAGAGUGUGGUAGGGGAGAUCGGAAUUCCUGGUGUAGCGGUGAAAUGCGCAGAUAUCAGGAGGAACACCGGUGGCGAAGGCGGAUCUCUGGGCCAUUACUGACGCUGAGGAGCGAAAGCGUGGGGAGCGAACAGGAUUAGAUACCCUGGUAGUCCACGCCGUAAACGGUGGGAACUAGGUGUUGGCGACAUUCCACGUCGUCGGUGCCGCAGCUAACGCAUUAAGUUCCCCGCCUGGGGAGUACGGCCGCAAGGCUAAAACUCAAAGGAAUUGACGGUA